This 310-nucleotide non-coding RNA is filed under the name Corchorus olitorius. Its description in RNAcentral is "Bacterial large subunit ribosomal RNA". It matches the Rfam family "Bacterial large subunit ribosomal RNA", at positions 1 to 355 of the family's 2925-position model. Lineage: Eukaryota; Viridiplantae; Streptophyta; Magnoliopsida; Malvales; Malvaceae. The record is from Rfam by way of RNAcentral.
GGACAAGUGAAUAAGUGCACAUGGUGGAUGCCUUGGCGAUUACAGGCGAUGAAGGACGUAGUAGCUUGCGAUAAGCUGCGGGGAGCUAGCAAACGAGCUUUGAUCCGCAGAUUUCCGAAUGGGGAAACCCGGCCUUUUAGGUCAUUGCAUGCUGAAUACAUAGGCAUGCAAAGCGAACGCGGCGAACUGAAACAUCUAAGUAGCUGCAGGAAAAGAAAUCAACCGAGAUUCCCAAAGUAGUGGCGAGCGAAAUGGGAUGAGCCUGUAUGUGAUAGUCGGACUGAUAGUGGAAGUCUCUGGAAAGUGACGC